GCCCUUUUAGCUCAACUGGGAGAGCGCUCGACUUAAGCUCGAGAGAUUCGUGUUCAAACCUCGAAGGGGGCA
This is a transfer RNA of Batrachochytrium dendrobatidis JAM81, 72 nucleotides long. It matches the Rfam family "tRNA". From Rfam's summary of the family: Transfer RNA (tRNA) molecules are approximately 80 nucleotides in length. Lineage: Eukaryota; Fungi; Chytridiomycota; Chytridiomycetes; Rhizophydiales. The record is from Rfam.